AUCGAAUUUGAAAGAAAAAGGUAU
This 24-nucleotide microRNA is filed under the name Oryza sativa (Asian cultivated rice). Its description in RNAcentral is "osa-miR5817". Lineage: Eukaryota; Viridiplantae; Streptophyta; Magnoliopsida; Poales; Poaceae. The record is from miRBase by way of RNAcentral.